Molecule: long non-coding RNA, 482 nt
Filed under: Homo sapiens (human)
Lineage: Eukaryota; Metazoa; Chordata; Mammalia; Primates; Hominidae
Description: non-protein coding lnc-MBD5-1:4
Source: RNAcentral
AACACAGACCCUUUGCUGCUGCUGUUGCUGCUGCUGCUGCUGUUGCUGCUGCUGCUGCUACUGCUGCUGCUGCUACUGCUGCUGCUUGGCCCUGGCUGGAGACAUCUCACUACACCCAGGAGCAGCCACUUCCCCAGCUCUCCUCCUCCUCCUUCGCCUCCUCCUCCUCCACUCCCCCCCUUUAUUACCCUUUGUGUCAUCCUCCACAGCUCCAGGGAAGGCACUCAAAAGUGGGGGGCAGGAAAGCCCACAUAUGACAGUGGACAUAGAGGACAACGCAGAUAUAGAACAUUUCUUUUAUCACAAUGUACAUUGAAGAUGUCAGUUUCUACAUGUGGGAAGUAGACAUUGAAGGCUUUAUGGUUUACAGACAAGAUCUUUAGAAGAUAAGCACUAAAGGACCAAGGAAAUAAAUACCAGAAAUCAAGAAGAGCACACACUAUUUUCCUUCAUCAAUCCAUAGAACCCUAAUGCUUCUUUAG